AUAAAAGCUCGCAGUUUAAAAACUUGCAGAUCACGAGACCUCGUCCCUUUUUCCGCCGUCUCUCGUCUUGGCAGCACCUCGCUCUCCAGCCGUCUUAUCGUCGGUAGUAGAGUAAGGCCUACCUUGAUUUUGGGACAUUCUCUCUCUCUGUGUUGGAUUUAUCAGAUUAAAUUGUAAUUAUAUUGUAUUAUAGUGUGUUGUUUUGCAUUCCGAUAUUUUAUUUAGUAAAUUAGUUUGUUUCUUCUCAGAUUGUUGCCGCUGUUCUUUGCUCUCAGGGCCAUCUCCUUACCCUUUUCCCCCUUUCCCCUUUUCCCAGGACGUGGGCCCUUGGGUCCCCCGUCCCCUUCGUCACGGAAUCGGGCCUAGCGCCCGUAAACCGUUGACACUAAUGAUGCUGGGGGAAUGCCUGUGCCAUCUCUCCAGGUACUCUCCAUGCCCCAGUCCUGUUCCUUAACACUUCCAGAGCUCAGGAAGGGGAAGUCGUCCUGGCUCGGUGUUUCCUUCAGAGGAUAAUUCCUGCUGCCCAAAUUGUCUUAUGCAAGAACGAUAUGGAGGAGUAAACCAUGAAAGCCCAUGAGGGCAUGAUCAUCAACUCCAUGCUGCUGAACAUCUCUGCAAAAAGCAGUGGGACGUACAUGUGUAGGUAUCAGCAGAAGAAUAAGAAAAAGUGGCUGAGGAGCUCUGCCCUCAGUGCACCAUUGGUACUACAGGUCACAGGUGGGUCAUGACACCAGGGUGGUAGGGACACAAGGGAUGGGAGGACUUAAGACCACAUGGAUGUCCCAUGUGCAGCAAGAGACGCCAUAUGGAAGGGAUCAUUUGUCCCACUUGGCCAUGUGUCCAGCUCCACGGCAGGGACAGCACCCGCAAACUUCCACGCCCAGCAGGACACCAGGGUCAUUGCAGUGGCAUCUGUGGCAGUCACCCUCCUCCUGCCUGCAGCCACCUAUUGGACCAUCAAGAAAGCUGAGGGGUUGUGGGAACUUUGAGGAAUCCAUGAGGUGGUCACAGCUCUGAUGUGGGUCUAAUCUUCUUGCAGGUGCCUGCAGGGAGAGAUGCCAAAGGUGAGCAGCAAGGGGCUGGGCUGGGAGAUUUGGGGUCACCUGUGACCCUCGGGUGCUGCUCCUUGUGCAGUGUCAGCUUUGUCCAUGGAUUCCCCUGUGCAGAUGAGAGAUUGCCAUGGGGUUGGAGAAGGAAGCAAUUCUCCAUGGGAAUAUCUCCAGUGACCCCUGGAUGCAUUGUGGAACCUCAACGCCUUUUCUCUCUGCUCACUCUGUCUCUCUCCAUGGUGCUGGUAGUGCUGAGGAAUCUUCUGAUGACCACGCUUCUUACUGUAAGUGCCAGGCCCUAUG
Molecule: long non-coding RNA, 1352 nt
Filed under: Numida meleagris (helmeted guineafowl)
Lineage: Eukaryota; Metazoa; Chordata; Aves; Galliformes; Numididae
Description: lncRNA (ENSNMEG00000000331.1)
Source: RNAcentral